RNAcentral lists this ribosomal RNA (305 nucleotides) under uncultured bacterium. RNAcentral's name for it is "bacterial SSU rRNA". It matches the Rfam family "Bacterial small subunit ribosomal RNA", at positions 338 to 640 of the family's 1533-position model. The record is from RNAcentral.
CCUACGGGGCGCAGCAGUGAGGAAUAUUGGUCAAUGGACGAAAGUCUGAACCAGCCAUGCCGCGUGCAGGAUGACGGCUCUAUGAGUUGUAAACUGCUUUUGUAUUAGGGUAAACACCCCUACGUGUAGGGGCUUGAAAGUAUAAUACGAAUAAGGAUCGGCUAACUCCGUGCCAGCAGCCGCGGUAAUACGGAGGAUCCAAGCGUUAUCCGGAUUUAUUGGGUUUAAAGGGUGCGUAGGCGGAUUGAUAAGUUAGAGGUGAAAUGUCCGGGCUCAACUCGGGAACUGCCUCUAAUACUGUUGAU